AUGCUAUAGUAGCCAUUAGAGUAAGACUUUAUUAAUUUUUGUCAAUAAACCGCACUUGGUAAGUAAAUAAGUAUUUGGUCAUUUUCGUGAACUUUUCUACAUUAAUUGCACUCCAGUUUUGACUUUUGAGAUCAGUGGGGUCUGGAUUCUUCGAUUCGCGCUUCUUUUUAAAACGAAAUUUCGUACUUUCUCUUAGAACUUUUGGAAAAUAAAACGAUUUUUCGAUGGAGAGCGACGAAAAGCCAGCGGUUGAAGCUUUGCAGGGAAGACUAAACAGUUUGAACAUCGAAGACGGUAAGAAAUAUUUAAAUAAUGGUUUUAAAAUUGCAUCUAAACACACUAAAUUGCAUUUACCUCGACAAAAUUGAAUAUAUAUUAUAUGUAUCAUGAUGACACUAUUAGUUAUGUUGUUUAUACACUCAACAGACAAGGCUGGUUCCAUUAAGGUAAUUUUCCUUUGCAGUCGCUUUGCCCGCGCGGGUGGAGCAACAAAUUCCAAUCACAUGAAAAAUCAGUUGUGCGGGCACGCCAAGAAAGUUGAAUGUAGUUCCACUUUCAUGGUGUGUCUGUGAGCAAUCGGGACAAAAAAUGCACAGGUUAGGCCCAUUUCAGACGCCGUACUCUUCGUGUGCCAAACUUAAUUGUAUUAGAUACGACACAAGAACGGCAGUGAUUCAAACAGCGUACCAAAUACAAUGUUAUUGACAAGGUCGGGGCGCUUUCGCCAGCGAAACCUAAAUAAAAGUCAAAAUAAAUAAGUUUAUUUUUAGACUAAAGUUGAGUUAAGUUUGGCACAUGAGUGGAGCGGCGUAUGAAUCAAUGUCGCUCCAUCGUCGCAUAAUGCGACAAGCUCUGCCAAACUUGUGUCGAACUUUUGCCGCUCCAAAUUCUGCCGUACUUAAUUGAUUCAUACGUCGCUCUUCUGCCGUACCUAAAUUCAUCAAUUAAGUUCGGCACAUGAGAAGUACGCCAUCUGAAAUGGGCCUUAGACAACUACAGAGAAAGUUGAAUAAUGUUUGCUCCGCCCACACAGGCAAAGCGACUGCAAUGGAAAAUUGCCUUGCUGCUGCAGGCGAAGCGAACAAAAUGAUACCAGUACGUCAAAUGUGCAUGCAAAAAUCAAUCUCCAUUGAUUUUAAUGCAUUUAGCAAAACCAACCCAUACUGUCAAAUCCGGUAUUCCGUUGCCGGCAAUAUUGAUCGGCUGAUUGAUCUCGCAAAUUGCAACCGACGCGAACAAAUUGCAAUUUUUACGUGUUGACAAUUUGUCAAAAGGUUGCGCCCAAAUGUCAGAUGCCAAGUAUUUGAUUGGCUUGUUUUGUACUAGUAGCCAAAUAUCAGGCUUUAUUGAGUCGGCGUUAAAGAAAUCCACCAACUUUAUUUAGAUGCAAAUGAGGAAACGAAGAAGAAAACUGAAGAAAGUACUACAGGAUGGAAAUCCAAGGAUGACGUCGAAGAUUUAAAGGCAAAAUUUCAAGAUUUAACUCGUAGAGCAAAACAAGAAGCGCAUGACGGAGAUUUAGAGGAAAGCUUAAAAUUAUACAAGAAAGCGUACAAAAUACACAAGAGCGAAAAAGUGGCUAAAAGAAUUGAAAAGUUGGAG
Molecule: long non-coding RNA, 1602 nt
Filed under: Paramuricea clavata
Lineage: Eukaryota; Metazoa; Cnidaria; Anthozoa; Malacalcyonacea; Plexauridae
Source: RNAcentral